AUGAACUCUGGAUGCAUGCAAGUCCUUGAAGACAACUGGUUUACCAAAAAGGAGCAUUUUCUACAAGUCUCCGAGGAGGAUCAGUCGUGACUCAGGAAGGACAGCCAGUCAGACCUGAUGGUUGAAUUUUCUGUCCAAAGAUGGAAAAAGGAGAUUGGAACCAGCUCUGCAGGGAGCUGGCAGGUUCCUGAGAAAUAUGUGUUCUGCAUGUUAAAGUUGAGCAAAGGACUCUGAUCCAGCAGUAAAGAAAACAAUCUACUUCCUCAUUAAAAAAUACGCUGAAAACCAAAAAGGGUACAAGACUUAAAGGGGAGGUUUUCUCAUUAAAGAGAAGAAAGUGUGAAAUGAGAAAUAACUGCUCAGAUAAAAAGCAAUAGAAUUCCAGAAACGUGGCAAUUUCAUAAUACAGGACAACUUAAGAUGCUAUGGGGCAGCGGGCUUCAGCAGUCCCUCGGGAAAGCAACACUUAAUGGUGAGGUUUCCAUCUCCUCUGUUGUAAGUUUUCAGUGGCAUCAUACUUGAUGCCAUCUUUCCCAGCUGCUGCCAGCUUUGACAUAAGGAGUUCUGCUUUCCAACAACUUCACUUUCUGUUGACUCCACUUGCAGAUGACAGGUGGAGUAGCCUGACUGUCAUAAUGCUGUCCCAGACAGAGAGACUGGUGGCCAGUGUCUGAGAUUGAAUACUGAGACACUCGAGUCACCCUGGGUGCCAAGAACCUUCUAAUCAUUCCCCUUUUACUUGUCAUGUAUAGGGAAAUGGAAUAAAAAAUGCCCCUCAGGAGACAGACCUGAAAUCCAGACAGAAUGGAAGUUUUUGUUUUGUUUUCUCUUCCUGUGUGAGAUUCAUGAACUUUCUAGUGAUUAGAGGACAGUUUCCAAGACAACCUGACUCAAUGCAAGCCUUUGAAGGAAGCCAAACAAAGGAUGAAGGAUGCUAAAGAGGAGAAAUCUGAGACCAAAAGAAUUCAGCAUACGCUAGGGCUGGGGUUGAACUGGACAUCUGAGGAACAACUCAGUGGAGUGUAGACUCCUGAAAAUCCAGCUCCUCAGUGUGUUAUCCUGACCAAUGUCUAAUUGCUAUGGUGCCUCCCCACAGUUCUCCCCACUCCCACACCAUUCUAGGUUCUUCCCUUUAUCCUUGUAAAUUAGAAAGUAUGAAGACAAACUGUGGACAGGACGGGUGACAUCUGUGCACUCCUGACAUUGCAGUACCCUGGGAUGGCUGAGGUGGCUAACUGGCCUGUCAUUCAUUUCUUGACUCUUGCAAGGCAGAAAUCUACCUAGUUUUUAAACAC
Molecule: long non-coding RNA, 1295 nt
Organism: Mastomys coucha (southern multimammate mouse)
Lineage: Eukaryota; Metazoa; Chordata; Mammalia; Rodentia; Muridae
Exons: 2
Source: RefSeq, a predicted model, not a curated record